GGGACACGCGCCCAGCUCUGUAGCCUCCUCCGUCGACUCAGCCUUAGGUACCGGUCAGGCAAAAUGCGGUCCUCCCUGGCUCCGGGAGUCUGGUUCUUCCGGGCCUUCUCCAGGGACAGCUGGUUCCGAGGCCUCAUCCUGCUGCUGACCUUCCUAAUUUACGCCUGCUAUCACAUGUCCAGGAAGCCUAUCAGUAUCGUCAAGAGCCGUCUGCACCAGAACUGCUCGGAGCAGAUCAAACCCAUCAAUGAUACUCACAGUCUCAAUGACACCAUGUGGUGCAGCUGGGCCCCAUUUGACAAGGACAACUAUAAGGAGUUACUAGGGGGCGUGGACAACGCCUUCCUCAUCGCCUAUGCCAUCGGCAUGUUCAUCAGUGGGGUUUUUGGGGAGCGGCUUCCGCUCCGUUACUACCUCUCAGCUGGAAUGCUGCUCAGUGGCCUUUUCACCUCGCUCUUUGGCCUGGGAUAUUUCUGGAACAUCCACGAGCUCUGGUACUUUGUGGUCAUCCAGGUCUGUAAUGGACUCGUCCAGACCACAGGCUGGCCCUCUGUGGUGACCUGUGUUGGCAACUGGUUCGGGAAGGGGAAGCGGGGGUUCAUCAUGGGCAUCUGGAAUUCCCACACAUCUGUGGGCAACAUCCUGGGCUCCCUGAUCGCCGGCAUCUGGGUGAACGGGCAGUGGGGCCUGUCGUUCAUCGUGCCUGGCAUCAUUACUGCCGUCAUGGGCGUCAUCACCUUCCUCUUCCUCAUCGAACACCCAGAAGAUGUGGACUGCGCCCCUCCUCAGCACCACGGUGAGCCAGCUGAGAACCAGGACAACCCUGAGGACCCUGGGAACAGUCCCUGCUCUAUCAGGGAGAGCGGCCUUGAGACUGUGGCCAAAUGCUCCAAGGGGCCAUGCGAAGAGCCUGCUGCCAUCAGCUUCUUUGGGGCGCUCCGGAUCCCAGGCGUGGUCGAGUUCUCUCUGUGUCUGCUGUUUGCCAAGCUGGUCAGUUACACCUUCCUCUACUGGCUGCCCCUCUACAUCGCCAAUGUGGCUCACUUUAGUGCCAAGGAGGCUGGGGACCUGUCUACACUCUUCGAUGUUGGUGGCAUCAUAGGCGGCAUCGUGGCAGGGCUCGUCUCUGACUACACCAAUGGCAGGGCCACCACUUGCUGUGUCAUGCUCAUCUUGGCUGCCCCCAUGAUGUUCCUGUACAACUACAUUGGCCAGGACGGGAUUGCCAGCUCCAUAGUGAUGCUGAUCAUCUGUGGGGGCCUGGUCAAUGGCCCAUACGCGCUCAUCACCACUGCUGUCUCUGCUGAUCUGGGGACUCACAAGAGCCUGAAGGGCAACGCCAAAGCCCUGUCCACGGUCACGGCCAUCAUUGACGGCACCGGCUCCAUAGGUGCGGCUCUGGGGCCUCUGCUGGCUGGGCUCAUCUCCCCCACGGGCUGGAACAAUGUCUUCUACAUGCUCAUCUCUGCCGACGUCCUAGCCUGCUUGCUCCUUUGCCGGUUAGUAUACAAAGAGAUCUUGGCCUGGAAGGUGUCCCUGAGCAGAGGCAGCGGCUCUAGUAUGGUCCUAACCCACCAGUGAUAGUAUUUUCCUCAAGUCCCAUGACUUUUGUGAGUAUUUACUUCGAGUCUGUGACUCGAGUGCCAUUUGAGUGGGGGCUGCAUGCAAAUCCUCUGUCCUGCAGUAUGACUUUUUCCAACUUUCUCUUUCUUCUUGUGGGCCAGUUGUAAAGACUUUCAACCUCAGCAGAGCAUGGUGCUUGGGAAGUGUUUUCCAAGGGGUCUGAGAUGCCACAGAGGUUGGUGGCCUCUUCCCUGAGGGACAGUGUGAGAACUUUGGACAUGCCCUCGGGGACAGAGGAGGCAGAAAUAGGGAAACCAGUUUCCCUCUGAGCUGCGACUGAGCUGCAAGUGCCUCCUGAAGUUCAGAAACCAAGGUCAUCUGGCCCCUCUGCCUGGGGUAUGCAGAACAAAAGCAACUACCAAUCAAAGUCUCUGAAACAAAUGUGAAUCAAGCAUGGGUGGCUGGCCUGGUGUGCUCUCUGCCUACUGUCUGGUGGUGGUGGAUGUGGUGGUGGCAUCAGCAGGUCAGUGGCUGAGGCUACACAGUGCUGGUGGUCUGAUGGUCGGGCGACCCUCUCCCGCUGGCCGUCCUGAGCAGGAGCCUCGUGCUAACAAGGAGGCCGCUAAUGAGCUGGCCGGAGCUGUGGACCUGGGCUGGAUGGCAAAUGUGAGGAGGAACCCCCGGGACAUGGUAACCAGCACGCAUCUGGGGACACACUUCCACUUAAGGAAGACACCACCCAGGGGAGAGAAAGUGAGAGCAGGAAGACACACAACACAGGAAGCACGCAGAGCACCUGUCCUGCCCUGCCCUGCCCUGCCCUGGAAGAGGGGAGCAGGGGGCUGGACUGCAUGACCCAAAGUUCCUGUGCCUGUGCUCCUUGGAGCCAGGCCUGAGGGUGGGAAGGGAAGAAGAGCAGCAGAAAGCGAGGAGGAUUUAGUGAGCAACUGCUCUGUCCUGGAAUUGUGUCUGGCUUUAGACGUGUGAGCUUGCCUCGCAGCAGCCUCUCAUUGAAGGUAUAAAGAAAUAUGAGGCCCCAAUUGGAACAGCAGCAUGGAGGGUCCCAGUUGGGUCCCCAACGUGCUCCCCAUGGGCAAGACAAUGGAAACUUCCACAAGCAGGGAAGGCAAACCCUCUUUAUUGAACAUUAGCCAGCCCAGCCCAGACCCCAGGGCUGCCUAAGGACACAGAGAUUCUCCAUGGGAAGGGGACUGCCAAGCAUGAGGAAAUAGAAGAUUCAGGGGCCUGAGCUCUGGAAGCUGCAAGCAAAAGGGAUGGGACUAGGGCUGAGUUGUGUCUCCAUUUUGAUAAGGAAAGGAUAUGCUCAGACUCUUGCUUGUUCAGAUUCCAAGACAGAAGGCUUCACAAGGCCAACGCCUGGAAAAUGGGCAUCUCUCCUUCCCAUGUUAAGCUUUAACCUCUGUAAUCUGCCUGUAUCUAUAGGUGGGCAUCUCACUCCACCAAAGGAGCCCAGCCUCUCUUUGUCCCUCUAUCCAUGCAACAGUCUUCUCUGUGCAUUUCCCCAAGCUGGGCCCUCUUCUACUCUCCAUUUAGGCCUGUUGAUAACUCCAUUACCCGCCCAUCACUGCUGUUCCUCCAGGGCCAGCACUCGGGCGAGGCAGGGGAGCUGCCUUCGGUACAUAAUUUGAAGGGGCACUCCCUCUUGGGCACAUGCCGGCCCUGAGUGCCUCCCUUGCCUCACUCUGAUCCUGGCCCCAUAAUGUCCUCAGUGGAAGGUGAUGGGGGCCGGUGCUGUGGGGAGAGUAGAAAGAGGGGUUGGCAUGACUAAAAAUACCAGUAUGUGUAUUAAGUAUUUUGAGAAUGAAAUGCCAAGGAGUGCCUACUAUAUGCCAGCUCUAGGAAUGGAGUAGACAGUGGACACAAGAAGGACUUACGCCCUGAGCACAGGUGCCAAUGGUGACAAGACUGGCAAGACGUGAGGGCAUGAAUGGUUCAUUCAGGCAGCUGCUGCAGAUGUGGUCACCUGGUGCCAUCUGCUGCUCCCUUUUCCACUUUUCUAUGUCCUCCUUCCACCCCAAGUCCCGGAUCACUCGCUGUUUUCUGGCUAGCUCUUGGCAUCUCCAUCUGAGCCUAAAGUUGCCCACUGGCACCAAUAGAUUCUGUUUGACCUGCUGUGCCCAUGCUCAUCUUUGUCGGGGCUUGGCUUGGCAGCGAGCGAGGCUGGCAUGGGGUGCUGAAGUGGGGUCUCAGUGAGGGGUGACAGCGUGCUGGCAGUCCUCACAGCCCUCGCUCGCUCUCGGCGCCUCCUCUGCCUGGGCUCCCACUUUGGCGGCACUUGAGGAGCCCUUCAGCCCACCGCUGCACUGUGGGGAGCCCCUUUCUGGGCUGGCCAAGGCCAGAGCAGGCUCCCUCAGCUUGCAGGGAGGUGUGGAGCGAGAGGCGCGAGCGGGAACCGGGGCUGCAUGCAGCGCUUGCGGGCCAGCUGGAGUUCCGGGUGGGCAUGGGCUUGGCGGGCCUGCACUCGGAGCAGCCGGCCGGCCCUUCCGGCCCCGGGCAGUGAGGGACUUGGCACCCGGGCCAGCGGCUGCAGAGGGUGUACUGGGUCCCCCAGCAGUGCCGGCCCACCUGCGCUGUGCUUGAUUUCUCGCUGGGCCUUAGCUGCCUUCCCGCGGGGCAGGGCUCGGGACCUGCAGCCCGCGGUGCCUGAGCCUCCCACCCGCUCCAUGGGCUCCUGUGGGGCCCGAGCCUCCCCGACGAGUACCACCCCCUGCUCCAGGGCGCCCAGUCCCAUCGACCACCCAAGGGCUGAGGAGUGCGAGCGCACGGCGCGGGACUGGCAGGCAGCUCCACCUGCAGCCCCGGUGCGGGAUCCACUAGGUGAAGCCAGCUGGGCUCCUGAGUCUGAUGGGGACGUGGAGAGUCCUUAUGUCCUGCUCAGGGAUUGUAAACACACCAAUCAGCACCCUGUGUUUAGCUCAAGGUUUGUGAGUGCACCAGUCGACACUCUGUAUCUAGCUGCUCUGGUGGGGCCUCGGAGAACCUUUAUAUCUAGCUCAGGGAUUGUAAAUACACCCAUCGGCACUGUGUAUCUAGCUCAAGGUUUAUAAACACACCAAUCAACACCCUGUGUCUAGCUCAGGGUUUGUGAGUGCACCAAUCAACACUCUGUAUCUAGCUGCUCUGGUGGGGCCUUGGAGAACCUGUGUGUCGAAACUCUGUAUCUAACUAAUCUGAUGGGGACGUGGAGAACCUUUGUAUCUAGCUCAGGGAUUGUAAACGCACCAAUCAACGACCUGUCAAAACAGGCCACUCGGCUCUACCAAUAAGCAGGAUGUGGGUGGGGCCAGAUAAGAGAAUAAAAGCAGGCUGCCCGAGCCAGCAUUGGCAACUCGCUCGGGUCCCCUUCCACGCUGUGGGAGCUUUGUUCUUUGCAAUAAAUCUUGCUACUGCUCA
This is an RNA transcript of Homo sapiens (human), 4977 nucleotides long. It is a transcript of the gene named solute carrier family 37 member 2, with no coding region annotated. The record is from RefSeq and is marked validated. The transcript is spliced from 19 exons. Lineage: Eukaryota; Metazoa; Chordata; Mammalia; Primates; Hominidae.